RNAcentral lists this ribosomal RNA (707 nucleotides) under uncultured bacterium. RNAcentral's name for it is "bacterial SSU rRNA". It matches the Rfam family "Bacterial small subunit ribosomal RNA", at positions 1 to 696 of the family's 1533-position model. The record is from RNAcentral.
CCCUUAGAGUUUGAUCCUGGCUCAGGACGAACGCUGGCGGCGUGCUUAACACAUGCAAGUGGAGCGACGAACCGAGGCUUGCCUCGGGGCAAAGCCGCGAACGGGUGAGUAACACGUGGGUAACCUACCCUGUUGAUUGGGACAACCCCGGGAAACCGGGGCUAAUACCGAAUGUGCUCCUUCCACAUCAGUGGAUUGAGGAAAGGAGGCUUCGGCUUCCGCAACGGGAUGGGCCCGCGGCCCAUUAGCUUGUUGGUGGGGUAACGGCCUACCAAGGCUCCGAUGGGUAGCUGGUCUGAGAGGACGAUCAGCCACACUGGGACUGAGACACGGCCCAGACUCCUACGGGAGGCAGCAGUGGGGAAUCUUGCGCAAUGCGCGAAAGCGUGACGCAGCAACGCCGCGUGAGGGAAGACGGCCUUCGGGUUGUAAACCUCUUUCAGUUGGGACGAAGCCUCUGCGGUUAAUACCCGUAUGAGGUGACGGUACCUUCAGAAGAAGCCCCGGCUAACUACGUGCCAGCAGCCGCGGUAAUACGUAGGGGGCAAGCGUUGUCCGGAAUCAUUGGGCGUAAAGCGCGUGUAGGCGGCUUGGUAAGUCCGCUCUGAAAGCCCGGGGCUCAACCCCGGGAGGCGGGUGGAUACUGUCAAGCUCGAGUCCGGAAGAGGCGAGUGGAAUUCCUGGUGUAGCGGUGAAAUGCGCAGAUA